GAUGAACGCUGGCGGCGUGCCUAAUACAUGCAAGUCGAGCGAACGGACGAGAAGCUUGCUUCUCUGAUGUUAGCGGCGGACGGGUGAGUAACACGUGGAUAACCUACCUAUAAGACUGGGAUAACUUCGGGAAACCGGAGCUAAUACCGGAUGAUAUUUUGAACCGCAUGGUUCAAAAGUGAAAGACGGUCUUGCUGUCACUUAUAGAUGGAUCCGCGCUGCAUUAGCUAGUUGGUAAGGUAACGGCUUACCAAGGCAACGAUGCAUAGCCGACCUGAGAGGGUGAUCGGCCACACUGGAACUGAGACACGGUCCAGACUCCUACGGGAGGCAGCAGUAGGGAAUCUUCCGCAAUGGGCGAAAGCCUGACGGAGCAACGCCGCGUGAGUGAUGAAGGUCUUCGGAUCGUAAAACUCUGUUAUUAGGGAAGAACAUAUGUGUAAGUAACUGUGCACAUCUUGACUGUACCUAAUCAGAAAGCCACGGCUAACUACGUG
This 497-nucleotide ribosomal RNA is filed under the name uncultured bacterium. RNAcentral describes it as "partial 16S ribosomal RNA". It matches the Rfam family "Bacterial small subunit ribosomal RNA", at positions 28 to 507 of the family's 1533-position model. The record is from RNAcentral.